Molecule: ribosomal RNA, 400 nt
Filed under: uncultured bacterium
Lineage: Bacteria
Description: bacterial SSU rRNA
Rfam family: Bacterial small subunit ribosomal RNA
Source: RNAcentral
UGGGGAAUAUUGCACAAUGGGCGAAAGCCUGAUGCAGCAACGCCGCGUGAAGGAAGAAGGUCUUCGGAUUGUAAACUUCUAUCAGUAGGGAAGAAUAAAUGACGGUACCUAACUAAGAAGCUCCGGCUAACUACGUGCCAGCAGCCGCGGUAAUACGUAGGGAGCAAGCGUUAUCCGGAUUUACUGGGUGUAAAGGGUGCGUAGGCGGCUUGGUAAGUCAAAAGUGAAAUUUCGGGGCUCAACCCCGGAGCUGCUUUUGAAACUGCCGAGCUAGAGUGUGGGAGAGGAAAGCGGAACUUUGAGUGUAGCGGUGAAAUGCGUAGAGAUUCAAAGGAACACCAGUAGCGAAGGCGGCUUUCUGGACCAUUACUGACGCUGAGGCACGAAAGCGUGGGGAGCA